RNAcentral lists this ribosomal RNA (810 nucleotides) under Occidozyga cf. laevis KU 315278. RNAcentral describes it as "partial large subunit ribosomal RNA". It matches the Rfam family "Bacterial large subunit ribosomal RNA", at positions 1535 to 2571 of the family's 2925-position model. The record is from RNAcentral. Lineage: Eukaryota; Metazoa; Chordata; Amphibia; Anura; Dicroglossidae.
UUCACCUAACAUCCCCAACCCAUCACCAGUAUUGAAUAAAUUCAUAACCUAUGAAAACUAUUAUGCUAGAACUAGUAACAAGAAAAUGAAUUUCUCCAAAUUGUAAGCAUAAACCAAAAUGGACACUACACUGGUGAUUAACGACUAUGAACCCGUUAUAGUAACAUAACUAGAAAAUCCUAUAUUUAAUCCCGUUAACCUUACACAAGAACUCUACUGGAAAGAUUAAAAGGAAGAGAAGGAACUCGGCAAAUCUUAACCCCGCCUGUUUACCAAAAACAUCGCCUCUUGAUCAGAUAUAAGAGGUCCAGCCUGCCCAGUGUUUUAGUUUUAAUCAACGGCCGCGUGAUUUAAACGCGCGAAGGUAGCAUAAUAAUUUGUUCUUUAAAUGAGGACUUGUAUCAAUGGCAUCACGAGGGUUAUACUGUCUCCUCUCCCCAAUCAGUGAAACUAAUCUCCUUGUGAAAAAGCAAGGAUAAGAUCAUAAGACGAGAAGACCCCAUGGAGCUUAAAACACGCAACAACCCUAAUACCAUAACCAAUUUAAUUUUAAGCCCUGUAUGCUAGUUUUAGGUUGGGGUGACCACGGAGUAAAACAAAGCCUCCACAACGAAAAGGGAUUAUACCCUUAUCUAAGAGAUACUCCUCUAAGAAUUGUUAAAAUAACGUCCAAUGAUCCGACUAUCGACCAAUGAACCAAGUUACCCUGGGGAUAACAGCGCAAUCCACCCUGAGAGCCCCUAUCGACGAGUGGGCUUACGACCUCGAUGUUGGAUCAGGAUAUCCCAGUGGUGCAGCCGCUACUAAAGG